This 545-nucleotide long non-coding RNA is filed under the name Malus domestica (apple). RNAcentral's name for it is "long non-coding RNA (MDOM_LNC016361)". The record is from RNAcentral. Lineage: Eukaryota; Viridiplantae; Streptophyta; Magnoliopsida; Rosales; Rosaceae.
CCUUAGCAUCAAUGUUGUUCGUGACUUGGUUAACCAACAAUUGGGAGUCAUUGAAGAUAUCAAUUUGUUUAACUCCAAGGUGUUUGGCCAAAUGUAAGUUUGCCCGGAGGGCUUCGUACUCGACCUCAUUGUUUGGCGCUUAGAAUUUGAAACGAAUAGCAUACUCCAUCGCUACUUUGUCGGGGGUAGUAAAGACUAGUCUUACUCCACAACCCUGUUGGUUGAAUGAGCCAUCAACAUACAAAGUUCAUACUGGGAAUGUUGGUUCUACCUUCCGAGCUUCUAAGGGUAACGAAGCCACUGUUGUAGGUGUAGAAGCAAUGUCAAUAAGAUAUGUUCAAACUCACCCAAUGCUAUCGCCCAUUUGAUCAUUCAUCCUAAAGUGUCAGGACUUUGGAGUAUCUGUCGAAGAUGGUGAUUGGUAAGCACAAUGAUGGAAUGUGCUUGGAAGUGAGGGUGAAGUUUUCGAGUAGACAUGACCAAUGCUAGAGCUAAUUUCUUAAUGUUGGAGUAUCGUGUCUCCGCAUCUUGUAAGGCAUUGCUAG